CUCAAUACAUUUAUUAUCACACUAUUUCAUAGAAUAGUGAGGACUACUAAUGCUAUCAUCUAGACCGUCACUUCAUUCCCCGACUAGUCCCGGCUACAUUCUCAUUUCCCGAAUAGAACAAUGAAAGCAAAAGGGUGAGCUCAACUAGCCCAGUAAGAAAUAUUAUGACUAAGAUAAUCCAAAAUAAUUUAUCGUUAGCCUUCAACAGUGUUAAACUGAUAAAAUAUAACAAACAACUGCAGCGGAACAAGCAAUCCAUUAGAAGAGUCAAGUAGAGCAUAAAUCUACUAUCUUCUAUGGUUUAAAAGGUUUUUCAUCACUUUUAUCGCUGAGACUCAGCUUAAUAAAUAAUCCACAUCAUCAAAUCACCCCUGCACUACGGCCAAGGAUAUUCUUUAGUAUCACGACCAUAAAUUAUCCAUGCACUACGGGCCAAGGAUAUUCGUGUAUUCAUCAAUGGUCAUGAUCAUGCCAACAACUGUCCAUCAAUGCACUACGGGCCAAUGAGGACUUUCACCACAUCAUUUGUAACAUUACGGUUAUGAUUAUACUGAAUAAUCCCUGGUCAUAAUCAUACCAAGUCCAUCUAUGCACUACAGGCCACAGAUGACUUUCAACAGAAUAUAAACAUGAG
This 634-nucleotide long non-coding RNA is filed under the name Panax ginseng (ginseng). Its description in RNAcentral is "long non-coding RNA (PGIN_LNC000679)". The record is from RNAcentral. Lineage: Eukaryota; Viridiplantae; Streptophyta; Magnoliopsida; Apiales; Araliaceae.